Molecule: ribosomal RNA, 445 nt
Filed under: uncultured bacterium
Lineage: Bacteria
Description: partial 16S ribosomal RNA
Rfam family: Bacterial small subunit ribosomal RNA
Source: RNAcentral
GUGAGGAAUAUUGCGCAAUGGAGGCAACUCUGACGCAGCCAUGCCGCGUGCAGGAAGAAGGCGCUACGCGUUGUAAACUGCUUUUAACCGGGAAGAAACCCCAGGACGUGUCCUGGGUUGACGGUACCGGAGGAAUAAGCACCGGCUAACUUCGUGCCAGCAGCCGCGGUAAUACGAAGGGUGCAAGCGUUAUCCGGAUUCAUUGGGUUUAAAGGGUGCGUAGGCGGAGCGUUAAGUCAGUGGUGAAAUCCUGCAGCUUAACUGUAGACUUGCCAUUGAUACUGGCGCUCUUGAGUGCGCUUGAAGUGGGCGGAAUGUGCCGUGUAGCGGUGAAAUGCUUAGAGAUCUGGAGGAAUACCGAUGGCGAAGGCAGCCAUCUGGCCUAAUACUGACACUGAGGUGCGAAAGCAUGGGGAGCAAACAGGAUUAGAUACCCGUGUAGUCC